This 740-nucleotide ribosomal RNA is filed under the name uncultured bacterium. RNAcentral describes it as "bacterial SSU rRNA". It matches the Rfam family "Bacterial small subunit ribosomal RNA", at positions 9 to 742 of the family's 1533-position model. The record is from RNAcentral.
GAGUUUGAUCCUGGCUCAGGAUGAACGCUGGCGGCGUGCUUAACACAUGCAAGUCGAACGGGCUCAUAUUGAAACCUAGUGAUGUAUGAGUUAGUGGCGGACGGGUGAGUAACGCGUGGAGAACCUGCCGUAUACUGGGGGAUAACACUUAGAAAUAGGUGCUAAUACCGCAUAAGCGCACAGCUUCGCAUGAAGCAGUGUGAAAAACUCCGGUGGUAUACGAUGGAUCCGCGUCUGAUUAGCUGGUUGGCGGGGUAACAGCCCACCAAGGCGACGAUCAGUAGCCGGCCUGAGAGGGUGAACGGCCACAUUGGGACUGAGACACGGCCCAAACUCCUACGGGAGGCAGCAGUGGGGAAUUUUGCACAAUGGGGGAAACCCUGAUGCAGCGACGCCGCGUGAGUGAAGAAGUAUUUCGGUAUGUAAAGCUCUAUCAGCAGGGAAGAAAUACUGACCUUACGGUCAGCAGACGGUACCUGACUAAGAAGCCCCGGCUAACUACGUGCCAGCAGCCGCGGUAAUACGUAGGGGGCAAGCGUUAUCCGGAUUUACUGGGUGUAAAGGGAGCGUAGACGGCAGCGCAAGUCUGAAGUGAAAUCCCAUGGCUUAACCAUGGAACUGCUUUGGAAACUGUGCAGCUGGAGUGCAGGAGAGGUAAGCGGAAUUCCUAGUGUAGCGGUGAAAUGCGUAGAUAUUAGGAGGAACACCAGUGGCGAAGGCGGCUUACUGGACUGUAACUG